RNAcentral lists this ribosomal RNA (460 nucleotides) under uncultured bacterium. Its description in RNAcentral is "partial 16S ribosomal RNA". It matches the Rfam family "Bacterial small subunit ribosomal RNA", at positions 338 to 795 of the family's 1533-position model. The record is from RNAcentral.
CCUACGGGAGGCAGCAGUGAGGAAUAUUGGUCAAUGGACGCGAGCCUGAACCAGCCAAGUCGCGUGAAGGAUGACUGCCCUACGGGUUGUAAACUGCUUUUGUAAGGGAGUAAUGUCAGGCACGUGUGCCUGCUUGAAAGUACCGUACGAAUAAGGAUCGGCUAACUCCGUGCCAGCAGCCGCGGUAAUACGGAGGAUCCAAGCGUUAUCCGGAUUUAUUGGGUUUAAAGGGUGCGUAGGUGGGUUUAUAAGUCAGUGGUGAAAGUUUGCGGCUCAACCGUGGACGUGCAAUUGAUACUGGCUGUCUUGAGAAGAGAUGCGGUAGGCGGAAUGCGUGGUGUAGCGGUUAAAUGCUUAGAGAUCACGCAGAACUCCGAUUGCGAAGGCAGCUUACUAAACUACAACUGACGUUGAUGCACGAAAGUGUGGGUAUCAAACAGGAUUAGAUACCCCUGUAGUC